This 3438-nucleotide long non-coding RNA is filed under the name Ovis aries (sheep). RNAcentral describes it as "lncRNA (ENSOARG00000025698.1)". The record is from RNAcentral. Lineage: Eukaryota; Metazoa; Chordata; Mammalia; Artiodactyla; Bovidae.
GACACCGGGGGGUGGGGGCGCCGGGGCCGGCGUGCCCUCAGCCCGGGCGGGCCCCUAGAGCUGGUCGGCCGCGUGGACCUUCUGGUGGCGGAGGAGGUGCGAGCUGCCGCGGAAGGCCUUGCCGCAGCGGCCACACUCGUAGGGCCGCUCGCGCGUGUGCGUCUUGUAGUGCUCGAUGAGCGCCGCGCGGUGGCGGAAGGCCUUGCCGCACUCGUUGCAGCCGCAGGGCUUGCGGCCCGUGUGGAUGCGCUGGUGCUGGAUGAGCGCCGAGCUGUGGCAGAAGGCCUUGCCGCACUGGCCGCACUCGUAGGGCUUCUCGCCCGUGUGGAUGCGCUGGUGCUCGAUGAGCGACGCGCUCUGGCUGAAGGCCUUGCCGCACCUGCGGCGCUUCUCGCCCGUGUGCGUCUUGCGGUGCUCGAUGAGGUUGGAGCUCUGGCUGAAGGCCUUGCCGCAGUCCUCGCAGGCGUACGGCUUCUUGCCCGUGUGGACGCGCUGGUGCCGCAGCAGGUGCGAGCGGUGGCUGAAGGCCUUGCCGCAGUCCUCGCAGGCGUGCGGCCUCUGCAGCGAGUGGGUCUUGCGGUGCUGGCUCAGGCCCGAGCUCUGGUUGAAGGCCUUGCCGCACUCCUGGCACGCGUAGGGCUUCUCCCCGGUGUGGAUCCGCUGGUGGGUGGCCAGCUGCGAGCUGAUGCUGAAGGCCGCUGGCCGCACAGGAAGGGCUUCUCGCCGGUGUGCACGCGCCGGUGCUCCAGGAGGCUUGCGCUCCAGCUGAAGGCCUUGCCGCACUCGCCGCACUCGUACGGCUUCUCGCCGGUGUGGAUGGCCUGGUGCCGGAGCAGGUGCGAGCUCUGGCUGAAGGCCUUGCCGCACUCGCCGCACUCGUACGGCUUCUCCCCGGUGUGAAUUCUCUGAUGCUGAAUGAGGUGUGAGCCCUGGACAAAGCCCUUCCCACACUCAUCGCACUUAAACGGUUUUUCUCCAGUGUGAGUUCUCUGGUGGCGAAUAAGUCGUGAGCUGCAACCAAAGGCUUUAGUCAGGUCUGAUUUCUGGAGGAAGGUUGGGCCGAACGGCUCGUCGUCCUGGGCCCUGUCUCCCGAGGGGAUGCUCUGAGGCGGAACGGGGCUGGAGCACAGAUCGAAGUCCCCCCGGUAAUCGUCCUGCUCCCCGCCUUGCUCCCUGAGAGGGAUCUCCUUGUAGAUGACGGCCAUCUGCUCCAGAGCCCUCCCCUGAAGAAAAGGGGCCCCCAGGUCUUCCUCCGCGAACAGGUCUGUCUGCAUGUCCAGCCCGCCGGCAAACACGAAAGCCUCACCCAGCUUGGCCGCCGGGGGGAUCUCCACGGAGGGGCCAGUCAUCCCAGUGGCUGGAUCUGUCUGGGACACACACAGCUGCUCUCGGAUUCUGGAAAGAAAACGAGAGACGCUGUCACGUCAGCAGGUCAAGCACCGAGUAGGAGCCAGAGCCCAAAGGAGAUGGAACCAAGGACACAACCUUGCCCUCGAAGACGGUCCUGGAUGAGCCAGAGAUAAGCCAGAGACUUCCCAGAAACACGUGCAAGGGAGACGCUGGCAUCCAGACUCUAAGGGUUCAGGGCGCCGGAAAGAUGGGCGAGGACAUGAAGGGGAGCCAUUCUGGAAGGGGGGCGGGAGUCCGGCCCGCUCCUCCCUCCGCCUGACUGGUCGCCCACCGCUGGCUUCUCACAUGCCACAUGCUCGUUUUCCCAGACUCAGUCCAAACGCCCCUCUUCUCUGCACCCUCAGACCCUGACAAUCCCGGGCAAUCUCAGCCACGUGGCCCCGGAGAUGCGGGACACGCACCCAUCACACUGGGCACCCACGGGGCAGGCGUCCUGGCAGGACCCUCCGCCGCGCUGCCUGUGAGCUCCCCAAGGGCAGGUCCGGGUUCCUCUGAACUGGAAGCCCCAGCUCCCAGCCCAGCCGCUCCACCUCUACAGGCACAUGUCCGUUGAGUAAAUAAGUGACUCAUCGGAGGAAAAGCCGUUUGCUUUUGUGCUAGUACUGCGUGCCACACUUUUAUUUUUUGCCAAAGAACUUUGUAUUCAAUCAAGUCAAUUAUCUCUGAGCUAUGGUUUUUCCAGCAGCCAUGUACGGACGUGAGAGUUGGAUCAUAAAGAAGGCUGAGUGCCGAAGAAUUGAUGCUUUCGAACUGUGGUGUUGAAGACUCUUGAGAGUCCCUUGGACUGCAAGGAGAUCAAGUCACUCAAUCCUAAAAGAAAUCAACCCUCAAUAUUCAUUGGAAGGACUGAUACUGAAGCUGAAGGUCCAAUACUUGGCCACCUGAUUCAAAGAGCUGACUCACUGGAAAAGACCCUGAUGCUGGGAAAGAUUGAGGUCAAGAGGAGAAGGGGACAACAGAGGAUGAGAUGGUCGGAUGGCAUCACCGGCUCAAUGGACAGGAGUUUGAGCGAGCUCCGGAGAUGGUGCAGGCAGAAGGCCUGGUGUGCUGCAGUCCACGGGGUCGAAGAGUUGGACACAACUGAGCAACCGAACAACAAUCUAGGAGAUUCAGAUAAGCACAACAGACAAAAGCAGGGCUGCUCUGGUGGAAGCGGGUGUUUCCACGGGGACAAGCAAAGGAGCGGGGAACACCCGCACUCAGCCCCCAGUGCCACUGUGGGAGCCCCGCAGGGCCCCAUUCAGAAACCGUGCGAGCUCCAAGGAGGCUCCUGAGCCCACUCAGCCCCCAGUGCCACUGUGGGAGCCCCGCAGGGCCCCAUUCAGAAACUGUGCGAGCUCCAAGGAGGCUCCCGAGGCGCCACGAUGGGGCCAGCUCGAGGCUGCCGAGCACCUGCGGCGUACAAGGCACUACUAGGCCUUCUCCCAGCGCGCCUCAUUUGCUCCUCAGGGCUCCAUACGAAGGUACACCUGCCCGAACACGGAAGUUCAAAGAGGAAUGGCCUCAAGAAGACAUGGGAAAUUCACCAGGAUAGUCAUGGGGGAACUCAUUCCCAGUUGGAAUCUUUUCACUAAAAUGUUUACUGGAGUCUAGCUGAUUUACAAUGUUGUAUUUGGGGGUUCUGAACCUGUAUUUGAUCUUUAUUUGGAGGAUAAUUACAGUACUGUGUUGCUUUCUGCCAUAUGUCCACAUGAAUCGCCCACAGGCACACUCGUGUCCCCUCCCUCUUGAGCCUCCCUCCCACCCCUCUAGGCUGUCACAGAGGAAGGGUUGUUUUGUUUUCUUUUGAGUGAAUUUUCAGCCAGGUGUGGAGCAUCCGAGGUCAGGGGCAACGGUCUGGAGGAGCUUUAUUUAAUUUUAAUGGGGUGGUGGCCCUGAGGAGCCACCCCAUGCCUGAGGCCACAGGCCGCGCCCGAGGCCAGGGGUGGUGGCCGGGAAGAUCAACCCACCUCCAAAGAGCGGUGGCUGCGCUGGUGCAGGAGGGCCUAGAGGAGCUAUCCCACGUUGAAGGUCAGAAAGGGCGGCAGU